This 1351-nucleotide ribosomal RNA is filed under the name Salmonella enterica. Its description in RNAcentral is "partial 23S ribosomal RNA". It matches the Rfam family "Bacterial large subunit ribosomal RNA", at positions 1473 to 2802 of the family's 2925-position model. The record is from RNAcentral. RNAcentral also lists the same sequence under 1 other name. Lineage: Bacteria; Pseudomonadati; Pseudomonadota; Gammaproteobacteria; Enterobacterales; Enterobacteriaceae.
CGGAGAAGGCUAUGUUGGCCGGGCGACGGUUGUCCCGGUUUAAGCGUGUAGGUGUGUGUUCCAGGUAAAUCCGGUUCACUUUAACACUGAGGCGUGACGACGAGGCACUACGGUGCUGAAGCAACAAAUGCCCUGCUUCCAGGAAAAGCCUCUAAGCAUCAGGUAACAUCAAAUCGUACCCCAAACCGACACAGGUGGUCAGGUAGAGAAUACCAAGGCGCUUGAGAGAACUCGGGUGAAGGAACUAGGCAAAAUGGUGCCGUAACUUCGGGAGAAGGCACGCUGACACGUAGGUGAAGUGAUUUACUCAUGGAGCUGAAGUCAGUCGAAGAUACCAGCUGGCUGCAACUGUUUAUUAAAAACACAGCACUGUGCAAACACGAAAGUGGACGUAUACGGUGUGACGCCUGCCCGGUGCCGGAAGGUUAAUUGAUGGGGUCAGCGCAAGCGAAGCUCCUGAUCGAAGCCCCGGUAAACGGCGGCCGUAACUAUAACGGUCCUAAGGUAGCGAAAUUCCUUGUCGGGUAAGUUCCGACCUGCACGAAUGGCGUAAUGAUGGCCAGGCUGUCUCCACCCGAGACUCAGUGAAAUUGAACUCGCUGUGAAGAUGCAGUGUACCCGCGGCAAGACGGAAAGACCCCGUGAACCUUUACUAUAGCUUGACACUGAACAUUGAGCCUUGAUGUGUAGGAUAGGUGGGAGGCUUUGAAGUGUGGACGCCAGUCUGCAUGGAGCCGACCUUGAAAUACCACCCUUUAAUGUUUGAUGUUCUAACGUGGACCCGUAAUCCGGGUUGCGGACAGUGUCUGGUGGGUAGUUUGACUGGGGCGGUCUCCUCCUAAAGAGUAACGGAGGAGCACGAAGGUUGGCUAAUCCUGGUCGGACAUCAGGAGGUUAGUGCAAUGGCAUAAGCCAGCUUGACUGCGAGCGUGACGGCGCGAGCAGGUGCGAAAGCAGGUCAUAGUGAUCCGGUGGUUCUGAAUGGAAGGGCCAUCGCUCAACGGAUAAAAGGUACUCCGGGGAUAACAGGCUGAUACCGCCCAAGAGUUCAUAUCGACGGCGGUGUUUGGCACCUCGAUGUCGGCUCAUCACAUCCUGGGGCUGAAGUAGGUCCCAAGGGUAUGGCUGUUCGCCAUUUAAAGUGGUACGCGAGCUGGGUUUAGAACGUCGUGAGACAGUUCGGUCCCUAUCUGCCGUGGGCGCUGGAGAACUGAGGGGGGCUGCUCCUAGUACGAGAGGACCGGAGUGGACGCAUCACUGGUGUUCGGGUUGUCAUGCCAAUGGCACUGCCCGGUAGCUAAAUGCGGAAGAGAUAAGUGCUGAAAGCAUCUAAGCACGAAACUUGCCCCGA